GGACGCUCCUUCAACAACAACAGCUAGUCAGACACCUCGGUAGCUUUCUAGCAAACAUAGCUACAACAUUCACGCUCUUUACACUGGUUUGGUGUAUAUUUGUCGCUGUGUAUUAAACACACUUCUGUCGUAUGUACUUGUUGGCCCAUUUAAUGAUAUAUUUACGUUGUUUGUCAGCUAGCUGGUUUGCUAAAUUAGCUUAGAACUAAGCUAGUCGCUAAUGCCAGCUAGCUAACAUACUGACCAUGAGUUCACGAAGCUACUCUCCUCCUGCUAAAGAAGCGGAGGUCUGCUGGACGGAGAAAGAAGCUCUAGUGAAAGAGGAGGAGGAAGAGGAGGCUGUUACAAUACAAAAACAAGUAGAGGGUGAAGCUGUUAGCGUGAAAGAAGAAGAGAAAGACGUUACAGUGAAAGAAGAGAAAGACGCGUUCAGAGUGAAAGAGGAGGAGGAUGUUACUGUAAAAGAAGAGGCGGCAGAGAAAGAGGAGGAUUCCGUUUUUGGAGUGAAAGGGGAGGAGGGGGAGAUGACUGUCACAUUGGAGGAAGAAGAGGAGGUUGGAGAUCUGUUUAACACCAGACUGGAGACCACAGCAGCGAUUCUGCUCUUGCCCUACCUCUUCAAUGAGGACCCGAGUGGCCUUUAUGUCCGUGACAAGAUUUCACCGCUCUUCACUCCUUUACUGCACAUCGGUGGAAAUCCAUUUCACCAUGAGAGUGAAAUCCCGCUGGCCUUUGAUGGGGAGAACAUCCAGGCCCUCGAGGACGUCCCCAUGGGACUUGGGGCUCUGCUACGGCUGUAUUUUUUAUUUUCCCUUAAAUUUCCCAAAAAUGUCAGUAAAACACUUAUGUUGUUAAGUUACUGUGUUCUGGGGAUCAGAGAAGUUGGGGUGAAGUUACCAGGGCCGGUCGUAAAGAUGGAAAACUUCCUAACAUAACUAAGUGGAUUCGAUAUACACACUAAAGCUGAAAAAUCUGUAUUUAGCAUCAAGUCUACAAUAUUGU
Molecule: long non-coding RNA, 1002 nt
Filed under: Salmo salar (Atlantic salmon)
Lineage: Eukaryota; Metazoa; Chordata; Actinopteri; Salmoniformes; Salmonidae
Description: lncRNA (ENSSSAG00000113283.1)
Source: RNAcentral